ACAUGAGAGGUGUAGCAUAGGUGGGAGACUUCGGUCGCCAAUGAAAUACCACUACUCUCAUCGUUUCUUUACUUACUCGAUUAAGCGGAGACUGCAAUUCACGUUGCACGUUUCUUGUUUCAAACGUUCGCGAGUUGGUUACUUUCGGGUUUCCUUCUUUUCGCUGCGUGAUCCCCAUCGAGGACAGUGCCAGGCGGGGAGUUUGACUGGGGCG
Molecule: non-coding RNA, 214 nt
Filed under: Zootermopsis nevadensis
Lineage: Eukaryota; Metazoa; Arthropoda; Insecta; Blattodea; Termopsidae
Description: Eukaryotic large subunit ribosomal RNA
Rfam family: Eukaryotic large subunit ribosomal RNA
Source: Rfam by way of RNAcentral